GGGCCCGUAGCUCAGCGUGGAUGGAGCGCCUGCCUGCGGAGCAGGAGGUCCGGGGUUCAAGUCCCCGCGGGCCCGCCA
This 78-nucleotide transfer RNA is filed under the name Candidatus Bathyarchaeota archaeon. Its description in RNAcentral is "tRNA-Arg". It matches the Rfam family "tRNA". From Rfam's summary of the family: Transfer RNA (tRNA) molecules are approximately 80 nucleotides in length. Their secondary structure includes four short double-helical elements and three loops (D, anti-codon, and T loops). Lineage: Archaea; Thermoproteati; Candidatus Bathyarchaeota. The record is from RNAcentral.